AAGCUAGAGUUUGAGAAGAUAGGUAAUAAGCCCAAGAUCACAUGGCUGAGUGGAGGAGCAAGACAUUCAAGCCAGCUAUGCUAUUAGGAUUUAAUUAAAUGGAUGCCAACAGCAAGUAAACCAUCUCCAAAGAUGCCAUGAAGCUCUCCUAAUUGCAGGAAAAUAUCAGAGGCACUUGAUUUGAGUCUUUCAAGUACGGAAAUAACAAAUUCAGUCUCAACAGACCUAUAGUGAAUGAGAAUGAUUGUCACAUAAUGUGUAGAGAAAAUGGAAGAAUCAAAGGCAAGGGAAACCUGUACAGUGGAGACACAAAGGGUCACUGGCAGAUUUCAAAUGAUCCAAGACAUCCUCAAGGAAGAUUUACCACAAGUUACUUUAUCAUAGCUUUGAGUGGCAUUUUAAUAUCAUAUUUUAAAAGAAAGAAAACAAUAGAAAUGUAUUAAAAUAUCUUCUCAAGAAUCCUUCCAAACCACAAGGAAAAUCACCAGGCCAAAAGUGAGGUUUGAAGUCUGGACAUGUACUGGUUUUCUCUAGCAAUCGACUCUCAAUUUUUGGACAUUGAGAUCUGCUGGUUGGAGAUCUUAGUGCCCAAGGAAGAAUGCUUGCAAAAGGAGAUGGAACAGUGUUUCUGUUGCAUUGGCCACUGAGAAUAUCUGGUUAUUUUGAAUUUGUCACAGUCUGCAGCUAAAAGGCGAACAGGAAAAGAAGAGAGAGCGGUAAUUUGAAUGAUAGCAGAUUUCACAUCAGGAACCAAUGAAGCUAGAUAAGAAUGCAACAUCUUUGAUGUCUAAAAGAAACAAAAAGCCAACCUUGAAUUCUUUAUUUAGUGAAGUUACCCUUCAGAAAUGACGGCAAAAUAAAGAUGUUUUCCAAUAAAAGACAACUAUGAGAAUUCUUCACCAGCAGUCCUAUUGUAUCAGAACAGCCAAAAGAAGUUUGUCAGCCUACAGGGAAUUAUAUCAAAGGGAAGACUUGACCUUGAAAAUGAAUGAGGAAUAUAAGAAAUUGAUAUUAUCUGGGAAGCGGCACAUGAGACUAGCAGGAGUAAAUGUUAUAUACACUGGGCCUCGCAAAAAUUCUGCAAUCACUGGGAAUCAGUAACCUGGUAGAAUGAGAAAACAACGUAAUACUGAAAAAUCAAAACACCAUCCUACAGAACUUUGAUGCAUUCAGAACAAAGAUCACGAAUCAAGCUGAAAAAGUAAAGCAUUCUGUGAGUUGUGGAAUGGAAAUUGCCUCAACCAUCUCACCACUUGAUGACACUUGUAAUUUCAGUGACCCAAUUCAAGCAAUCAAACAUCAAGUAAUACUCUCAAUAAAGAUGUGUAAUUAAAACAGAAGAGGAAACAGACUAACAGAAGUGAUGAAGAAUGGCAGUUCUAAGGAUGGCAGGAAUUCACUGAAUGUCUAUCUAUCAUGUAUGCUGUUGGAGGCACCUGUCUUUCAGUUCAGAGGUUAUGGAUGUAUCUAUCAUCAGUAUUUCGGGAAGUCAGGGACCCGGAACAGAGGGACUUAAUGAAGCUGUGGCAGAAGAAAAAAUUAUGAAGAUUUCAUGGACAUUUAUUAGUUCCCCAAAUUAAUACUUUUAUAAUUUCUUACA
Molecule: long non-coding RNA, 1600 nt
Filed under: Homo sapiens (human)
Lineage: Eukaryota; Metazoa; Chordata; Mammalia; Primates; Hominidae
Description: HSALNT0308612
Source: RNAcentral